RNAcentral lists this long non-coding RNA (5106 nucleotides) under Piliocolobus tephrosceles (Ugandan red Colobus). RNAcentral describes it as "lncRNA (ENSPTEG00000025370.1)". Lineage: Eukaryota; Metazoa; Chordata; Mammalia; Primates; Cercopithecidae. The record is from RNAcentral.
AUGUAUUAAUUAAUUUAAACAUAAAUAUAUGCAAUAAAUUCAUAAUUUAUAACUUAUAGUACCUUAUGAGCUAUAUGUUAAUUUUUUGCUUAUGUUUUUUAAAUUAAUUUUUAAGUUAAACAUAUAUAUAUAUAUAACCCAUUCAGUAUUUUUAUUUUACCAUUUGCGUUUUUAUAUAUACACUAAAGUAAAUUUUUUUUUUUAAAAAAAUUAAAACGCAGAAAAUCAUUAAAUUCUGCUACAUAUGUAUUUAAAAUAUACAUAUACAAACGCUAUGAGAAACUAAAAAAAAAAAAAAAAAAAAAAAAAAAAAAUAGUUCUUUUUUUUUUUUUUUUACUAUUUUAUUUUAUUUUUUUUAAUAUUGCAUUUUUCCAGAUAUAUAAAAAAAUAAUUUACAGAACAAUAGUUAAACAAACAUAUAUAUAUAUAUAUAUAUAUAUAUUAAAAAACUAAUUAACAAAUAAUAUUCAGUAGUGUCUGACCAAGUAAAAAAUAUUAUUAAGCAAUAUUCGGCUAAUUAAAAAAAUAUUAUUAAGUGAUAUUAGACUAAUUAAAAAAUAUUAUCAAGCGCUAUAAAUAUAUUGUUUUGAUUUCAUUUUAGUAUAUUGCCUACAUAUGUACAUAUACAUAUAUACAUACCUUUUUUUUUAAACACACAUAUAUUCCCAUGUUGAUCCCUGAAAAUUAUAUUUUUUUAAUGACAAUACUGAUAAAAAUAACAUAUUUAAUAAAAACAACACAAUGAAUAACAAUAAUACGAAUAACUCAAAUAUGUGGAAUAUCCCCAACAAUAAUUUAAAUAAUAACAAUUUUUUUAGUAAUACUUUACCAAACCAAAAUGACCUGAACAAAAAUAAUUGUAACAUUUUUAAUAAUUCCUUAACUAAUGACAAUAACUUAAACAAAACUGGCAAUAAUAUUUUUUCUAACACGUUACCCAACCAAAAUGAUUUCAACAAAAAAUAGUGGUAGCCUUUUCGGUGGUGCUUUAUCUGGACAAUCCAACUUAAACAAAAAUGGUACGAACAAUUUUUUCAAUAGUACUUUACCCAGUCAAAGUGACAUGAACAAAAACAAUUGCAACCUUUUUAGUAAUUCAUUAACUAACCAAAACAAUUUAAACAAAACAGGUGGUAGUCUUUUUGCAAACAAUAUAACUAAUCAAAACAACCUGAAUAAAGAUAGUGGUAGCCUUUUUAAUAAUAGUAUUACAUAUCAAACAAAUAUGAUGAAACCUAACAAUUUUUUUGGAAACAAUAUAAACAAUACUCAAAAUGAUAUGAACAAAAAUAAUACCUCUCUUUUUUCCAAUACUAUGAACACACAAAAUAAUUUAAAUAAAAAUAAUUCUUUUUUUUUUAAUAAUCCAAAUGAUGCUAACAAAAGUGGAAAUAGUCUUUUUGGUAAUAUAGCUUCGAAUACUUCAACACAGUCUACAACACCUAAUGCUUUCAACCCGAAUUUAUUCAGUGCAGCCAAAAAGGAUAUUUAUCCAGGAUUCACACGGACAUUAGGUAGUAAUAAUUCGACAAACACUGGUACUAAUAUGUUCAAACAAAGUACAUUAGGAAGUUCCAUAGCGUUAGGAAGUCAACUAAAUGAAGAUAGAAGUGCAGAUGGUGGUGGUUUAUUUUCAAAAGAACAAUUGGAGGCAGCCAAACAAAUUUUUGCUAAUUCAUCAGCUACAUCUACAUCACUAUCAGGUUUUGGAAAUAACACAAGUACAAUGAAUAAUAAUAACAGUACUUUAAAUAACAACAAUAACAAUAAUAAUAAUAUAAACAAAUUAACAUCGUUUAGUGGUGGUUUUUCAAAUGCAAGUGCUUUUGCAAAAAAUAAUAUAAACCCAUUUCAAAGUAUGGCAUUAAAAACAAAUACACAAGAUAAACUACCAACAUCAAAAGUACCAUCAUCAUCUUCAUCUCUUUUAAAUAGUUCAAUGUCGAAAUCUUUUCUUACAAGUGGUAAUAAUGAAAAUAAAUUGAAUCCUUUUGGUAUGCCUAGUAUGAACACUUUGGGUUCUUCUUCAGGUAAUAAAUUUGGAACUACAUUUGAUGGGUUCGGUAAUAAUUUAAAGCCAUUAGGUGGCACUUCUACCACGACUACUAAUAAUACUACUACAAGUAGUAACAGUCUUUUUUCAUUACAAAAUAAUAUAAAUACAACAAAUGCUUUUUCCAAUAAUGAUAAUAGUAAUAAAACUGGAUUUACAAAUUUUACUGGAUCUUUUAGUGCAUUCGCAAAUAAUAAAACAACUACAAGUGAUUUAUUUAAACCAAGUAAUAACAUUAACUCUUCUUUUUUAUCAUCUUCUGUAAAACCUACAAAUACUGGAAGUAUAUUUUCUCUUGGUACUGGCGCUUUUGGAGUAAACAAUAAUACUAAAAAUAAUGAAAACAGUUCUUUGUUUGGUAACACUAGUCCUAGUAUAACUACAUCCAUAAAUACAACCGAAAAAAACAACAAUAAUAAUAGCACUGCUAGUGGUAGUGUACUUCCGAAUUUGUCACUAUUCAAUACUAACAAACUAAUAAAUGAAAAUGCUCUAACAGAUAGUACAAAUAAAACCAACGAAGAUAAAGAAAAAACUUUGGAAAGUACAACAGCCAGCAAAACAGACAAAAGUCCAAUUACAAAUGAAAACAAAAAUGAAAAAGAGAAAUUGCCACUCGACCAAAUGAAAAUUACACAAUCUGAACAACAAAUAGAUAAAACCAAUAUUCAAGAUUCUAAACCAAUAGGAACUGAGAAAACGCAAGUACAAACUAUAACCAAUGAAACAGUAGCAAAAGAAGAUACAAAACUACAAGAAGAGACACUCAAAAGCGGUACAGAACAGUUUACAGAUAAAAAUCUCGAACGCACUGAAAAGGAAAAACCAAUAGAGCAAGAACAGGCUAAACAAGAUGAACAAUCCAAAUCGAAAGAAUUGAAUAAAGAACCAAACGAUAGUGUUAAAGAAACGGCCGUUCCUCUUCCACCACUACCCCCGUUUUUCAAAACAGAAGAUGAAAAAAAAACAGAACAAAGCGAAAACAAAGCUUUUAAUGAAGCUUUAACUAAUAAUAAAACAGCACCAUCAUCGUCAACGACAAGCAUCUUCGAUUUCAAACAACCAUUAAAUGAAAAUAAUAUAACAAAUCAAAUAACUCCAUCAAAAGAAACAACCGGUGUAACGCAAAAAGAAAAGGAUAAAGAAUCAAGUAACGAAACACAAAAAAAAUCAUCCUUAUUUAAUUUAAAAUUAGUUUCUAAUAUAUUCAGUAAGCAAGCAAAAGACAAUAACGAUAAGGAAAACAAAAACGAUUCAAAUAAAACUAAUGAUCGUAGUACUGAUAAUACUCAAGAAAAGUCACCAAAAGAAAAAGAUUUAAGUGCUGAUGAAAAAACUACAGACUUAUUUACCAAAAAUAGUGAAAAUAAAAUAAAUAAUUUUUUAUUUAAAAGUGCACAAAAUAAUCAAACUGAAUCUACUAUAAAAACAAAUAAUGAAAUUGAAAAAUCGAAAAUUCAGGAUAACCAAAAAAAAGAUAUUAACAAUGAAAACAUUACUACUACUCCAUUAAAUUUUAAUUUAGAUCCUAGCAACCUUUUUGGUAAUAUUAAUCAAAAUAAUGACAAAAAAAAUAAUGAUAAUAACGCAAAACCAACCAAAUCUGUUUUGUUUUCUGACAAUGUUAUGUUUAAUCAAAAGCCAUCAACGACAACAACAAAUGUAUUUAAUCAAAACAAUGUAUCAAUACCAGUAGAUGGUAAAAAAGAAACCAAUUUGUUUUCUUCAAAUUUUAAAAACUUUUCAUUAUUUGACUCCUCUGUUAAUAAUAACAAUAAUAAUGAAAGUUUGAGUAAUGAAGGGUUAAAAGAAAAAACUAAUACCGUUAAACAAUUACCGAGCAACAUAUCUCCAAAUUAUAAUGAUACCAAAACUGAUAAUCAAGACGUAAAAGAAGUACAAAAUAUGAUAAACUUUAUUACGUUAGAGGAUAGAAAAAAAAAUAUAUAUUUAGAUAAUACCCUUCAAACGGAUGAAAAAAACAAAAAAAAAGGAAUUAAUUUAGUAUUCGGUGGUAAUGCAAAUAAUAAAAAUAACCAAAACAAUACUGACCCCUCACGACAUACAUUAAAUGCUCAGUUAAAAGAAUCAAAAGGUACUCUUCGAACGAAUGAUAUUACAAAAGAUAUGGACUUUAAACAAUUCGAUUUUUGGUCAGAAAAAAAAAAUAUACAAAAUAAUAUGCAACAACAACAACAAGAACAGCUAGAACAAGAAAAAAAAGAAGUAGAAAAAAGUAUAAAAGAAAAUGAAUCGUUUUUUAAAGAAAACUUAGAUCAAGAAAUGGUUAUUGAAGUGAUUAAUAAUUUAUCUUCAUUUGUUAAAAAUAAAAUUAAUUUUAUGAAUUAUUGUUCUAAUGAAAUUUUAGAUACAUAUAAUAAACUGGCUCAUUAUGAAAAAAUGUAUACAUUAAUAUCAGAAGAUCAAAUAAACAUUGAAAAAAAACAAGAAGCAUUAGAAAAAAGAUUAAGAUAUAUACAAAGUGAACAAUGUGAUAUGUUAUCCUUAUUAAAUGAGUUAGAUAAUGAAAACUCUGUAGAAUUUUUAAAAAUCAUAAAUUCAAAAAAUUCAAAUAAAAAUGAUUCUAUACAUAAUAAAAAUCUUUCCAUAGACAUAGAUAACUUUGAAAAAUUAACUUCUAAAAUGCAAAAUUUGGAACAACUAAUGAACUCUUUACCAGAAACUAACAAAGAUGGAAUAAUAAAUAAUUUAAUGGAUAGGUGUUAUACAAAUGAAUCAAAUUGUGAUAACAUAGAAAAACAAUUAAAAAUUUAUUAUAAUGAGUUAACCAAUAUGAAAUGAUUAAUGGAAAUAAUAAUAAGUUGGGAAAUGCAUUUUCUGUUUGUUUUUUUUUUUUUUAUUACGUGCUUGUGUGUUAAAAUAAUUUUCUUUUUAUAAUUUUUUUUUAUUUGUGAAUAGUGACUUUUUUUUUUUAUAUGUAUUAUGUGGUUACAGCGGUUAGACCAAAUAUGUGUAUACAUACUUACAUACACAUAUUUAUUAUGUGAAAAAUGCUUAGGAAUAAAAAUGUUAGUACAUAAUAUAUUUAUCA